CUUGAAAAACAACUGUUGAAAAAACAAGGAAAAAGUGCAGCUGCUGAUCACCAAAGAAGUAAAUCAUCUGGGCCUACAAAGAAGGAGUCUGGUAUUGCUUCAGAAAGUUUGGCAAAUAAUAGUGGAAAAACUGGAAAUGCCAAAUUGAAUACAAGUAUUAAAGAUGAGAUUAAGAUGAGAUUAUUGGCAAUCCCUUGAAAGCCAAGGAUGGAAAUCUGCUAAUCUCAGAAGAUGAUCAUUCUGAAGCAACACCACGGAUGAGAGGAUUGCAGGAUUUUGGGCUCAGAACUGCUCCUUUAAAGCGAAAGCUUCAAUCAUCUGUUGAUUCAGAUAGUUCUGUGAUACCUAUGGCAGAUAAUCACUUUCAAGCUCAUCCUGUUGGUGCCCCUAACAUGGAAAGAACAAAUCAUGCAAAUGGAGUGGAUGAGAUAGGGGCUAUUUCCCUGGCCAAGAGAAGUAGAAAUGUUCACUUACCAGCUGAGUCUAGUGAUUCUUUGGAUGAUAAAGAACUUCCUCCAAACCAGAUUAACAUGUUGUCUUCCCAGUUUGAAGGAAGUUCUUUAUCAUCCAAAGAAUCAC
RNAcentral lists this unclassified non-coding RNA (579 nucleotides) under Hevea brasiliensis (rubber tree). Lineage: Eukaryota; Viridiplantae; Streptophyta; Magnoliopsida; Malpighiales; Euphorbiaceae. The record is from RNAcentral.